This 2531-nucleotide long non-coding RNA is filed under the name Homo sapiens (human). Its description in RNAcentral is "HSALNT0200929". Lineage: Eukaryota; Metazoa; Chordata; Mammalia; Primates; Hominidae. The record is from RNAcentral.
GUAGCUGGGACUACAGGUGUCCGCCACCAUGUCCGGCUAAUUUUUUUGUAUUUUUAGUAGAGACCGGGUUUCACUGUGUUUGCCAGGAUGGUCUCGAUCUCCUGACCUCGUGAUCAAAGUGCUGGGAUUACAGGCGUGAGCCACCGCGCCCAGCCUACUUCCCUCCUUUCAAAACCUCAAGUUACAUUUGACUUUCACAGAAUAACUGACCCCAGAAUUGGGCUGGACCCAAUACUUGCUCAGGUCCUUACCAGAAGACAGGCGAUGUACACCCUGAUUGGGAAGGAAGCUGCCUGCACCAGAGUUACGAGGAGCUAAGAUGGCGCAGCCAAGGUGGUGAGCAAACUGCUUUCCAGAUCAGUGCUUUUUCAGGAUACCAUUCUCCUUUUUAUUUUGGACAACAAGUAUGAAUGUUCUAAACUAUGGAAGGAAAAGGAUGUACAUAGAUACUGCAGAGUUCUACAAAAGAUGAUUUCUUAAGAGACACAUUUGGAUAAUUGGAGGAGAAAUCACUCAAGGUCUAUUGACACAGUAGAGAAGGCUGUUCUUUGCACCUCUGAUUCAGGGAGUGAAGACCUGUUUUCCACCAACUGUUACAGAAGAAACUUAUGCAACAGAAAAUUCAAUGUCCAUGCUCUGGGAAGCUUAUGAAGAAACUAGUAGAUUCUUGAACAACAAUAACAACAAUAACAGUAAUAAGACAUCACCAGUUGCUGAGGUGGUACUUCUGUCUGGGUUCUGGCCCCAUAGUUUUUGUUCCAGAGGAUAAAAGAGGUGUCCCUCAACCGCCUUUCUUUGCAGCCCUCCCUCUGAGGGCAAAAAAAUGAUCCCAAAGAACAAAUUUGAUCCUGUCACUCCUCUGCUUAAACCUUUCAGACAAUCCUACUCAAUAAUCUAUUGCAAUUUCCUCAAACUUUAGUCAAAAUAUAUAUAUUUUUGCCUUAUCCCAGUGCCAUUUAUACACUUUCUACUUAAAGCGUGCUCUUUGGACCACCCUCAUGGGCAGCAUCUGGGAGCUUACCACAAAUGCGGAGUCUCAGGCUCCACCCCGACCUCCCCUCAACAGAAUCUGCAUUUAAACAAGAUACUCAGAUGGUGUGUAUGCAUAUUAAAGGUUGAAGGACACAGUCCUACACUUUCUAGAUAUAUAUUUUUUAAUUGGCAUUCUUCUAAAAAUGCAAACAAAUCUCUUUAAAGACAACUAUAUCACUAAUACAAGUGAAAAGCCAGUGCCAUUUUCUAUAAAUAGCAUAUUAUCUAUAAAAGUAAAUACAAUAAACAUAAAACAACGUGCCAGGAAAAAUUAUGAAAGACAUUAAAAUGGGCAAAAAAUAAGGUUACUGGGUAUCUUGUCUAUUGCACCCUUCUGGGUUAUUUGUUCUUUUAAUUGUUCUUGAGCUAUUUAUAAGACUUUAAGUUAUAGAAAACUUAUGUGUAAAUAGACUUACACAAUACACAUCUUACCAAUAGGAGAGCCAAUGAGUUUUAGCUGAUGGAAUGGAAUUGCUUACUGCUCUGUUGAUAUUGAUCAGUUUUGCCUCUAUUGGUAAAUUCAUCUCAGCAUUCCUUAUCUGCCUCUUUAUGUGUGUGUUACUUGAAUUCUCCUUUGAACUGGUUGUAACAUCUUACUUGUUCACUCAUUAAUAAGUUAAAUAAAAUCAUUAACACAUGUUCAUUUUAUAUUUGUAUGAAAGUUAUGAUUUUAUCUUUUAAAAAUUAUCCUUUGACAAACAUAAUUUUCAACUGUAGCUAGAUACUGAUGCCUUCCAACAAUUCUAAGCCUGAGGCCAAUCUUUGUCUGAUAAAGAUGGAGAUGAGCACAUUUUUCAUAGGUACUUAUUCAUUCAGCAAAUAUCUUUUGAACAUCUGCUGUGUCCUGAACAUUGUUCACUUUAACAGUUGGGAAUUAUUCAGGUGUGAAAAAAAUGUUAAAAAUUCCUGGCCUUAAUGAGCGUAUAUUCUGGUAGGGAUAGAUACAUACUAAACAAAAUAAAAUUGAAAAUUAUGUAGUAUACUAAUUGAUGAUAAAUGCUAUUGGGAAAAAUAAGUCAAGGAUGGAGUUAUGAAGGGGAUUCAAUUUUAUGUAACUGGUGUCAGGGAGGGCAUCCCCGGGAAGACGACAUGUGAACCAAGACUUGAAGAAAAUAGGGGUGUGAACCACAGGUAUCCUGGGAAGGGCGUUCCAGGCAGAGAGAAUGGAAAGCGCAAAGGUCCUGAGUAGGAAUGCGCUUGUUGGGUUCAAAGACUAGGAAGGAGGCUAAUGUGACUCUAGUAGAAUGCAUGAGGGAAGGAGACAAAAUGAGCUCAGAGAUGUCAUUGGAAGUCAAGUUGUUGCAAGGCCUUGUAGGUCAUUGAAAGGACUUCAGUUGUUAUUCCAAGUGAGUUGAGGAGCAUGUAUUAGGGCUCUGCAGAGAAACAGAACCGAUAGGAUAUAUAUAAAAAUAGAGGAGCCAAGAAGUCUCACAAUCUUCUGUUUGUAAGCUGGAGAACCAGAAAAGCCAGUGGUGUAAUUCAGUCUGAGUCUGAAGGCC